RNAcentral lists this ribosomal RNA (375 nucleotides) under uncultured organism. RNAcentral describes it as "partial 16S ribosomal RNA". It matches the Rfam family "Bacterial small subunit ribosomal RNA", at positions 527 to 896 of the family's 1533-position model. The record is from RNAcentral.
GUAGGGGGCAAGCGUUGUCCGGAAUCAUUGGGCGUAAAGCGCGCGUAGGCGGCCCGGUAAGUCCGCUGUAAAAGUCAGGGGCUUAACCCUUGAACGCCGGUGGAUACUGCCGGGCUAGAGUCCGGAAGAGGCGAGUGGAAUUCCUGGUGUAGCGGUGGAAUGCGCAGAUAUCAGGAGGAACACCGAUAGCGAAGGCAGCUCGCUGGGACGGUACUGACGCUGAGGCGCGAAAGCGUGGGGAGCGAACAGGAUUAGAUACCCUGGUAGUCCACGCCGUAAACGAUGGGCACUAGGUGUGGGAGGUGUCGACUCCUCCCCGUGCCCGUCGCUAACGCACUAAGUGCCCCCGCCUGGGGGAGUACGGCCGCAAGGCUA